GGUAUCCUGACCGUUCUAAGGUAGCAUAAUCAUUUGCCUCUUAAUUAGAGGCUAGUAUGAAUGGACACACUAAACUUAACCUUUAUUUGCCUUAGUAAUAUAAAUUAGCUUUUAGGUGAAGAUACCUAAAUUUAGUAGAAAGACAAGAAGACCCUAUUGAGUUUUACCUUAAAAUAAAAUAAAAGGUUUUGUUGGGGCGACCAGGGAAUUCAUCCGACUUCCCUUAAAUAAAAGGAAACCAUGAAAUUGAUCCUUAAAGAAUUCAGAAUAAACUACCAUAGGGAUAACAGGCUAAUUUUUUCAGCGAGUUCAUAUUAAUGAAAAAGUUUGGCACCUCGAUGUUGGCUUGAAGAAUCUUUUAGGUGCAGCCGCCUAAAGAAGAUAGUUUGUUCAACUAUUAAAUCUUCACGUGAUCUGAGUCAGACCGGGUCAUAGCUGUUUCC
Molecule: ribosomal RNA, 443 nt
Filed under: Pholoe assimilis
Lineage: Eukaryota; Metazoa; Annelida; Polychaeta; Phyllodocida; Pholoidae
Description: partial large subunit ribosomal RNA
Rfam family: Bacterial large subunit ribosomal RNA
Source: RNAcentral